AGACAUAGUAUAAAUAAGUUGAACUAUCUUGCUGACAAUGCCUACUGUGUUUGGUAUCUUAGCGUAGUUCUAAAAGUGUUAUUAAAUGUCCUGGUGUUGGUAAAAAGCAUGAAGAUCAGCCGAAGGGGUCAGUUUGCUUGUUCGGGAAAUAAGGAGUGUGGGUAAGGUUCCUUCCAGUAACAACAAGAUGAGCAACAUCAGAAGCAGCAAAAGAAGUA
This 218-nucleotide long non-coding RNA is filed under the name Mustela putorius furo (domestic ferret). RNAcentral's name for it is "lncRNA (ENSMPUG00000024002.1)". Lineage: Eukaryota; Metazoa; Chordata; Mammalia; Carnivora; Mustelidae. The record is from RNAcentral.